This 429-nucleotide ribosomal RNA is filed under the name Bacillota bacterium. Its description in RNAcentral is "Firmicutes bacterium partial 16S ribosomal RNA". It matches the Rfam family "Bacterial small subunit ribosomal RNA", at positions 355 to 776 of the family's 1533-position model. The record is from RNAcentral. Lineage: Bacteria; Bacillati; Bacillota.
UAGGGAAUCUUCGGCAAUGGACGGAAGUCUGACCGAGCAACGCCGCGUGAGUGAAGAAGGUUUUCGGAUCGUAAAGCUCUUUUGUUAGAGAAGAACGUUUGUAGGAGUGUAAAAUCUACCAAGUGACGGUAACUAACCAGAAAGGGACGGCUAACUACGUGCCAGCAGCCGCGGUCAUACUUAGGUCCCGAGCGUUGUCCGGAUUUUUUGGGCGUAAAGCGAGCGCAGGCGGUUCUUUAAGUCUGAAGUUAAAGGCAGUGGCUUAACAAUUGUACGCGGUGGAAACUGGAGGACUUGAGUGCAGAAGGGGAGAGUGGAAUUCCAUGUGUAGCGGUGAAAUGCGUAGAUAUAGGGAGGAAAACCGGUGGCGAAAGCGGCUCUCUGGUCUGUAACUGACGCUGAGGCACGAAAGCGUGGGGAGCAAAAAGG